GCCAGCGUGGUGUAGUGGUUUGAGCAUUAGACUACAAUUCUGGAGAUUAAGGUUCAAAUUCUAGCUCAGCCA
Non-coding RNA from Phrynosoma platyrhinos (Desert horned lizard), 72 nucleotides. The record is from the annotation of a GenBank genome assembly. Lineage: Eukaryota; Metazoa; Chordata; Lepidosauria; Squamata; Phrynosomatidae.